AACGAACGCUGGCGGCAGGCCUAACACAUGCAAGUCGAGCGCCCCGCAAGGGGAGCGGCGGACGGGUUAGUAACGCGUGGGAAUGUACCCUUUUCUACGGAAUAGCCUCGGGAAACUGAGAUUAAUACCGUAUACGCCCGGUAACGGGGAAAGAUUUAUCGGAGAAGGAUCAGCCCGCGUAAGAUUAGAUAGUUGGUGGGGUAAUGGCCUACCAAGUCUACGAUCUAUAGCUGGUUUUAGAGGAUGAUCAGCAACACUGGGACUGAGACACGGCCCAGACUCCUACGGGAGGCAGCAGUGGGGAAUCUUAGACAAUGGGCGCAAGCCUGAUCUAGCCAUGCCGCGUGUGUGAUGAAGGUCUUAGGAUCGUAAAGCACUUUCGCCAGGGAUGAUAAUGACAGUACCUGGUAAAGAAACCCCGGCUAACUCCGUG
Molecule: ribosomal RNA, 433 nt
Filed under: uncultured bacterium
Lineage: Bacteria
Description: bacterial SSU rRNA
Rfam family: Bacterial small subunit ribosomal RNA
Source: RNAcentral